Long non-coding RNA from Amblyraja radiata (thorny skate), 139 nucleotides. RefSeq lists it as uncharacterized. The transcript is spliced from 3 exons. NCBI's taxonomy places the organism in Eukaryota, Metazoa, Chordata, Chondrichthyes, Rajiformes, Rajidae. The record is from RefSeq and is a predicted model, not a curated record.
GUGGAAUUGUCUGCCUCAGACAAUUGGUGGAGACCAAUUAUCUGGAUGCCUGCAAGAGAGAGUUAGAUUAAGCUCUUAAAGAUAGCAGAGUCAAUGGAUAUGGGGUGAAGGCAGGAACGGGGCACUGAAUGUUGAUGAU